CGCUUCGGGACUGCAAUCCCAGCAUGCCCCGGUCUCAGGGGCGGGGCGCAGUUCUUGCGGGAGGAGCGGGGCGGUGCGCUCCUGGCCACGCAGGCUGGAAACUGUAGCUCUUAACGGUUCCCCGCCCGUUGGUGGCAAGGCGGCUGGACUAGAAUCCUAGCAGGCGAUAUGCGAGAAGGCGGGCAGCCCAAGAGGGUUGGGCAGGGCAGUGUGGAUCUCGCCGCUUCCACAGCGAUGCUGGCUACUGAUUUCGGACACCUCCUUGCCAUGGGAUGUGAGUCCGGAGAGGGACAGGAGGGGCAGGUCCGGGUUGGGCAGUGAGGAGGGUGUGACGCCGCGAAGUGCACCUCGCCCUUGUCCAACUCGGACGGGUGUGGUCCUCACCUCACUUCCCGCUGCUAGGCUGGGUUCCCUCUCCCACCUGCACCCGGGGUCUUUCCUGGACAUCACGCCUCCUCCAGCCCAGGGAGCCACCUGCUUUCCUAAGCUGCUGUGGGAACUGGCCUGCGGUCCAGGCACUGUCCACUGUGCCGCUGCCCUCUUUUCUCUCCAGCCAGAGCGCAGUGCAGCCGCUAUGGGGAGAAAUCCGCCGCCCGGCCCGCCAGUGCACAAGUUCAGAGCUUUGCGUGGGGCAACAUGCUCUGUGGCUUCAUGAAAAUGUCACCCUCACCAGCGCCUUUUUCGCGGAUGUGGAUGUUGAGGUGGCAGAGAGGGUCAUUAUUGGUUUACCCAGGAGAUGCUAACAGCAGAAGAGAAAAUCUCACAUCCCAGGCGUGUGUCUCUGGUGCGCCAUUUUCCCCCAACCCAUUUGGUGGAAAGUUCCCCAAAUAGCUACCUAAAGAUGAAGAUAGUUUAGGCAUUUUACACGUGACAUCAUUGGCCUCAUCUCAACCGAGGCCUGACUGGGCAGUGUCUCAAAGACACAAUGGCAACCUGAUUCUCAGGAACAGGUGGUGCUCCAGCUUUGUGUGAGCGACUUUCAAGGUAUAGAGCACUUGGGGAGUCUUUGAAACUCCUCAGGCUUCACAACUUUGCUUUGAAUGGAAUGUUCAUCACCCCCGGCACUCACGGAGGUACCUUUACUCUCUCGGGCUGAUCUGUUUAAUUUUUCUGUCCAGACAAUGGAAACUUCUGGGAGCACUUCUGGUUUCGUGUAGCUUCCUAAUAAUUGAUGUCCCUUAAUUCCAGGUGUCCUCAGGGAAAGUUCCUUUGAUUCUGGAAUGGCUCCAGCUUUUAUGCUUUUGUGUUUAAUCCGUAAAAACCAAGGUGUUAAUCUACAUAAAAAUAAGACCUUGUUCAUAUCACACAUUCCAACAGGCUUCAUUUCUGAUUCCUGAAUGCGGAUUACUAUUUUAAAAAAGCCUAAAAACUCUGGUCAUGGAUAUUAGACACUGUUAUUGUACUUUGUGAAGAAUUUACUCCUUCAGGAUCAAUUACACACGGGCUCAUCAGCACCUUUGUCAAUAAAGGAACAAGAACCAUGUGGCAUCUAUGGAUGUGGUGAGGUGAAGUAUAGGGAGACCACAGCAUAACAGCUCUUCCCUUGUUUUCAGUAGAGUUUGUGGGGUCAAGUACCUGCAUUCUUCCCCCAUCCCUCAAUAUUCUCAUUCUACUCUUGACUGUUCCCUCUUUAGGUGGGAGUUUCUAAAUACACUCGUCCGCAAGUGUUGGUGGGGAUGUUGUAAUGUGAGUUCAUCCAUCAUCCGUCACCUUAAAGAUGAAUGGAGAGGAUUUUGUGAUCUGUGUUCAAGAGGCACUGCUGUUGGGUGAGAAAACUGACACUUGGAGAGGUAGAGUAGCUUUAUUUACUUCACACAAGCUUUUGAUGAAUUUCAAGUCUCAACCUAGAAGUCUUCCUCUAAGGUUCGUGCUUUCACGCACCUGUAAUUCAAAUACUGAUGAAAACAAAACUAUUGCCCUCCUACCAAAUGGGAAAUUAAUGUUAUGACUGGAUAAGACAAUUGUGAAGAAACUGCACUUCGAGGUUGUCUGUCUCCGUAUUCCGAUGGAAAAGGCUGGACUUUAGAAGCAUUGCUCGCUCCUUCAGUUUCUAACAAGAGUUUUACAGUUUCUGAUUAAAUACCAAUGGGAUAUCACCUCCCAUCUCUUAGGAUGGCUGUUAUAAAAAGGACAAGAGAUAACAAGUGUUGGUGAUGGUGUGGAGAGAAGGGAACCUUUGUACACUGCUGGUUAAAAUGAAAUGAAAUCAGCAUCUGAUAGAGAUAUCUUCACUCCCCUCUUCUCCGUGCCCCACCACAGCAUUGCUCCCAACAGCCAAGCCAUGGGAUGAAGUUACUGUGCAUUGAUGGAUGAGUGGAGAAAAGAAAAUGUGGGGGAGGUGUUUGUGCAUGUAUGUGUGUGUGUGUAUAAUAUAUAAUAAUAUAAUAUUUUUCAGCUUUUAAGAAGUUGAAGAUACUGCCAUUUGUGAUAACAUAAAUGAAUCUGGAGGAUAUUAAGCUAAGUAAAAUAACUUAGGGAGAGAGAAAAAUACUGCAUAAUUUCUGUUACAUAUGAAAUCUUUAAAAAGGUUUAAUACAUAGAGACAUGAUAGAGUGAUGAUUUGGGGGAUAAGAGACACAAGUCAACGUUUCAGUUAUAUAAAAUAAAUGAAUCUAGAGGACUAAAGUACAAUUUAAAGGUUAUAGUUACUAUUUUUAUAUUAUAUACUAGUGAUUUUUGAACAGGGUAAACUUUAGGUGCUUUGACACCAAAAGGAAACUACAUGAGUUCAUGUAUAUGUUAAAUUGUUUGACCGCAGUCAUCAUUGAUAUGUAUAUGUAUAUAUAUAUAAUUAUGGGCUCAUUAAAUUUAAAUGCUAUAAAUAGGUAACAAAGAAUAAAGUUAAUUGAAAAACUGCAUCAUUAGACUUGAUUUUGCCUACAUGAAAAACUGAAACUGCCUCCUAAAUAUUAAUAUUUGUACAUCGCAUAAAGUUUAUAUGUUGGAAAUAUGUUUAAAGAAAAGGAAUUAUAAAUUUUAAUAAACACAGAAUGACACAGUAAAUGCAAAACAGUAGAAAGAGAUGAAAAUCUGAUUAAUCAGAGUGGUUAAUGCUUAGAUAUAAUUAAUGAUGUGUUAGGAGCAAUUUCAAGCCACUUCCACAUAGAUUUAAUACCAAAGAGUUUAUGUGUACACAGAGAUUAAAUAAAAAAAUACAUUUACAAUGAUAUUAAUUGAUAUUAAAAUGAUUAUGAAAUCAACUGUCUGCUAUAGAAAAAAUAGAGCAUUAAGUAACUAGCAGUAAGUUUGAAACUUUGUUAGAAAGUUAAUCAAGUGAAAAAGUGAUCAGCAUUUUUGAGCACUAAAUAGAGGAUGGACAAAAUUUUCUUUUCUUUCUUUCUUUUUUUUUUUUUUUUGAGAUCGAGUCUGUCUCUGUCGCCCAGGCUGGAGUACAGCGGCGCAAUCUUGAUCUCGGCUCACUGCAAGCUCUGCCUCCCGGGUUCACGCCAUUCUCCUGCAUUAGCCUCCUGAGUACCUGGGACUGCAGGCGCCCACAGCCAUCCCUGGCUAAUUUUUUGUAUUUUUAGUGGAGACGGGGUUUCACCGUGUUAGUCAAGAUGGUCACGAUCUCCUGAGCUCAUGAUCCACCUGCCUCAGCCUCUUAAAGUGCUGGGAUUACAGGCGUGAGCCACCGCACCUGGCCUAUAAUUUUCCAAUACCAAGAAAAUCAUUUGAUAUUGCAAGAUUUUAAACCUAAAUUAGUGUCUUUAACUUCACAAAGGUAGAAAUCCUAUAAGUAAUGUUUCUUGAACACUUUAAAAUGACAAUAAAAACUAAAGUGUAACCAACAAGUAACAUGUAGCCACAUGCAAAUUUCCUUUUAGAUUGUUUUAUUAUUUUUUUAACUUUAUGUGAAUUUUUAUUUUACUAGGUUUUUGGGGAACAGGUGGUGUUUGGUUAGAGGGAUAAGUUUUUAGUGGUGAUCUCUGAGAUGUUGGUGCAGUGUACACUGUACCCAAUGGGUAGCCUUUGAUCCCUAAGAUUGUUUUAAAUGACAUCUAGAUUAAAUAGAACAUUCAAACUGACAUUACUUUUACAGCACCAGAGAAAUGCUAAGGAGGAAGCUUUGUGACUGAAACCAAAAGACCUGAAUUUAUAUAUUUAAUUUUACUAAUUAACAUUCUUAAUUUUAUAGAAAAACAGCAAUUCUGCCCACAUGCAGGAGUUAUGCAUUAAAGUGGAGCAUGAUCACUUCAGACAUUUGUCCAAAACAUAAAAAUUCUUCCAAGUAUUAAGAAAAUAUUUAUACUUCACAGAUAUUGUUAGUGUAUAAUACAUGGGCAUUGAGAUGUUUCAAAUGAGAAAAAUUGAAAUUUCUCAUGGGGCAUUGUUCUACACAAAAUAUUUAUGUAAAAUUUUUUACUCAUAUAUGCAUGUGGACAUUUGAUGUUUUAGCACAGAAUAACAUAUUCUCAAAGGUCAUUUAAUGUAGUAAAUUAAAAAUCUUUAAAGUUUACAAGAAUUUUAAAACUGCCCAGCAGAACUGAUAGAAAAAUAUGGGAGCUUCCCAGGACCAGAAGUGAAUCAAGAGGCAAAUUCACAGGAGUCAUGAAAGUGAGAAGUUAGAGCUGCCUUCAGGUACAGCUCUGAUUGCAGGGCUGAUUACACAGACCUCAAGCCUGUGAAAAUCGUCCACUCUGCCCCUUGGAAUAUACAUACAGAGAAAAUUACUAACUGGGGCAUCCCAAAUGUGAGAUCUCUAUAAUGUAAGAACCAAAUUGCAAUUAUGAAGCACACAAAAGAAGCUACCCAAAAAAGGGAAAGAAAUUAUACAUCACGUAAACUUCACAGAUUGGAAACGUAUUUAAAAUAAGUAACACAAAUAGGGAAAGAGAAUAUCAAAAUAAUUUUGAAAACACAUGAAGUUCUAAAGCGGGCACUGGGGGCAGUGGCUCAUGCCUGUACUCCCAAGCACUUUGCGGUGGCCAAAGCAGGAGGAUCACUUGAGGCCAGGAGUUUGAGAUCAGCCUGGGCAACAAAGCAAAAGUUGUCUCUACAACAAAUAGAUAUAAAAAAAUAAGCCAGGCACAGUGGUGUGUGCUUGUACUGUCAGCUACUGGGGAGGUGGAGGUGAGAGGGUCUUUUGAGACUGGGAAUUUGAGGUUGCAGUGAGCUAUGACCACCACUGAACUCAAGCCUGGGUGACAGAGAUUCUUUCUCAAACACACACACACACACACACACACACACACACACACACACACACACACACUAAACAGGCAUGUUUUGCAAAGACUCAAACAGAAAUUGAACAACUGAAACUUAAAUAAAUUUAAUAUACAGUGUAUGGUUUAAUUAUUAAACCAAGUUAAUAACAACAGGAUUAGUGAACUAGAAUACUGAGAUGAGUAAAUAAAAGAACUACAGAAAAAUGAAAUGAUCACAAUACAAAAAUGAGUAUACAUGUACAAAGAAUAAAAUGAAAUGAAAUCAAAUACAUUGGUUUCACUAGCUUACAUAUAAAUAACAAAUCACAUUAAUAACAAAUAUUUAUAAAUUUCUGAAACUGAAUAUCAGAUGGGAACCCUUGAAUGCAGAAGUGUAUUGUGAUUAAUAGUGGCCUACCAAUAAAAAAUACUCAACAGAAAUAAAAGUCAAACUGCAUAACAGCAAAGAAAAGAAAAAAUUUUAAAGCCAUAAGAGAGAAAAGAAGAGAGAACCAAUGAAGGUGAGAGCAAAGUCUUCACAGCCCGUGUUCAGUCAGAAAACAGAGAAAUAAGUAAGAGUGCUGAGAUAAGUCACUGUUCAACCAAUAAUUAGAUACUUCACUAACAUAUUUUGAAUAAGUGAGGAUGCACUACAUGAUUUCCAAAAGUAAAAAAGUGGGAAAUCUUAUUACCAAUAUGAGCUUAUUAAGAAUACACUUCAAAAAGAAAAAAAAUUUAAAAUGGAGUUCAAGGAAUCAAAAUGAAAUGCAAGAAACUGCAAACAUAUUGGGCUAUCAAAUCAUGGUGGACAAUGAACAAAAGGAUCCAUCAAGUCUUUGGCAGCAUCAGUUUCCAAAUGAUUUACAUAAAAUAAAAGUGCUAAACUCUAUACAAUGUAAUGAAAUAAAUUAUCAAAUCCUCUGAUACUUGAAUAAUUUAACUGAUGUUAGAAUCUCCUUUUCAGAUAAUUAUUUUCAUGGAAAAAAAUAUACAAUACUUCUGUCUCAUCAUUUGCAGAAUAUCAAUUAUCCUUUUUUCAGAACUUAUUAGCACCAAAGGGCUCACAGUGGCAUAGGCCCUGGUCACAAGCCUCUGGACACCCAG
RNAcentral lists this long non-coding RNA (6251 nucleotides) under Homo sapiens (human). RNAcentral describes it as "HSALNT0123348". The record is from RNAcentral. Lineage: Eukaryota; Metazoa; Chordata; Mammalia; Primates; Hominidae.